RNAcentral lists this long non-coding RNA (2116 nucleotides) under Rattus norvegicus (Norway rat). Its description in RNAcentral is "long non-coding RNA NONRATT007937". The record is from RNAcentral. Lineage: Eukaryota; Metazoa; Chordata; Mammalia; Rodentia; Muridae.
UGGCGACAUGUCACAGCAGUUUAAGUAAUACUCCAAACCCAUGAGCCUCGCUCAGCCGCUCGCUCAGUCGCCCGUCUGUGCUGUGCUUACAGGCAGCGCCAGACACUCCUGGAGCUCGUGCUCCUUCCUCUGUUCAAGCCCACCUGCCCAUCAGUGCAUUUAAAGAUGGACAGCUCCCGUGCAGGCCGAGUCCUGGUAUUUCUGAGGUUGCCAUUUGACUCAACCCUGACAUAGCUUUCCAUAUAUCCUGUUAUUUCUGAAUCCACUUUACCUCAUGUCCUCAGAGUACCUAUAACACUUACUUACCCCUUCCUAGAUGGCAUUAAACUCCAUUUUAGAUUUUAGGAAGUCACAAUGUGCACUCACUCAGCUGAUCAGGAGUCAUUGGCAGGUGUACGUGCCCUGGGGCUUUUCCUUAGUUUCGUGGACUCUGCUGAUCACUGUGUCUCUAAGUUAGACUUAUUUCCUAGUGGCUUUGUCACAUGCUCCAACUUGAAUUUUUUUUUAAAAAGUAGUUGAAUGUAUAUAUCAGGGAGGAAGAAGCAAGUAAACUGAGCUUGCCAACUUCAAGGGUGACCCUCUCAGGCUCCUUUUUUAAGUGGUGGGGUUCCCUACUAGCUAGGAAGGCCUUGAGAGGGCUGACUGGGGAGUCACUGAGGAUGAAUCUGUCAUCUCAGGCAAUAACGUGUAGGCAUCAUCAUGAAUCACAUACAGUUCUUUUUAGGCAUGAGUGUGCAUUACUGAUCCACUCAUUCAUUCACUGAGUAUUUAUUGAACGCCUCUUGGGUGUCAGACAUGUACUGGGUGCCAGGAAUGCCACUGGGUCAUGAAAUUCACCUCUGGAGGAGACGGGAUAAGUGAGUUGACACAUAAAUAAUGUAGUUUGCGAUAGUGAUUAAGUGCUAUGAGAAACUAGGAUGAUACGUAGAGGGGGUUGGGGGGCCAGGUAGCAAGAGUCAGGAACUCUGCGCUGAAGGUGCUGGGGUCAGGUGACAGGAGCAAUGACAGCACACAGCACAGGUGCUGCUGGCUCUGGGGAGGAGAUGCCGGUGCUGGAGGAGGUGUGUGCGGAGGGGAGGUGCUGAGCCAUGAGCUUUUAAUGGCUAGCAUUUAUGGGCCUGUUGUGUUUAUUUUUAUUUCUAUUGACUGAUGGUAAAAUUCAUGGAAGAACUCAAGGCAUGUUGAGAAGACCAGAAGUCCCCAGUGACACCUACACAAAGCUCCCAGUUCCGUUUCCUUCUCUUUCCCAUUCUCUGUCUCCCACAUGCAGUCCUUUGCUCAGGAAGUCUUUGGGGAAGCUAAUGACCUGUAAAUUUGAAGUGGGUGACUGGUCUGGUGGCUUCUGCCAGCCAUCUAAGACUGGAUAAAGAACUUCCCAGAUGGUUAGAAAUUGAGACUGCUUUGCUUGGGGUUUUUUUGUUUUUUGUUUUGUUGUUUUGUUUUGUUUUUUGGUGUUUGGCUGGAAGAGGUUUUUGUAAAACUGAAGCCUUGGUGCAUAGAGGGCUUUGCAGGAGCACAUAGUCAGUGGGAGUGGGUGGGGUUUAAGAAUGAAUCUGUCACUGUGUGUUUCUAUGUAGACACCUUCAGGCAAGCCUUUGGCCCACUGGUCACUGCCUUCCCCCUUUCCACAGAGGGCUAUUGGCUAACAAAGCCCCUUCCUGGCCUCACGGCCACCACAGCAAUUUCCUGUAGUGUCUUACACUUCCCCGUGUCACCACAGAGUGGAGCAUUAGAGAAAAGCCUGGAUAGAUUUAGUUGAUAGAGAGCCAGUUGAAAUAUCAUCAAUAGAAUUUUAGUUUAGGGAAAAUUGGUUUGAUUUCUAGCUUUAUUACUAUUAGGUAUAUAAGCUUGGGAAAAUUGCUUAAUCUUCAGGUCUAGUUUUCUCACAGAAUGAGGACACCGGACUAAAUAAUUUCCCAACUUCCAGCUAGUCCUAGAGUUCUAUAUUUCUACAUAGUUGAAUUAUUUUAUCAUGCUGUUGCUGGGGGAUACAACUAACACUUUUGAAGCUACUAAUUUUAUGUCAAGCUUUAAAGUCCAUAAUUGUUAUCUUCAGAAAUAUUAUUUGACCUACAGUAUGUUUAAAUCAAUUUAAUAAAAUCACUUUAUAACAGGG